RNAcentral lists this transfer RNA (73 nucleotides) under Ailuropoda melanoleuca (giant panda). It matches the Rfam family "tRNA". From Rfam's summary of the family: Transfer RNA (tRNA) molecules are approximately 80 nucleotides in length. Their secondary structure includes four short double-helical elements and three loops (D, anti-codon, and T loops). Lineage: Eukaryota; Metazoa; Chordata; Mammalia; Carnivora; Ursidae. The record is from Rfam by way of RNAcentral.
GCCUGACUGACUCACUUGGUAGAGCACAUGACUCGUGAUCUUGGGGUUGUGAGUUCUAGUCCCACAUUGGGUA